Molecule: long non-coding RNA, 215 nt
Filed under: Nicotiana benthamiana
Lineage: Eukaryota; Viridiplantae; Streptophyta; Magnoliopsida; Solanales; Solanaceae
Description: long non-coding RNA (NBEN_LNC029555)
Source: RNAcentral
AAUGGAGCAAAUUCAAUUGGACGGGUUUUCAAUUCUUUGCCCACAAUCGUACGUGAAUUUAAUCAUGGCAAGGCAUAGAAAUUUUACCACUUCAUGUGAGUGUAAUUUCUUACAAACUUCAUUAGAGUUAUAAUUAAACUUUGUUGUCUUUGUCUGUAUAUAAAUCAAAUCAUAGAAUUUGAAGAAUUUGAAAGAGAAAAGUAAAUUACUUACCU